This 95-nucleotide transfer RNA is filed under the name Bacillota bacterium. Its description in RNAcentral is "Firmicutes bacterium (sediment metagenome) tRNA-Ser". It matches the Rfam family "tRNA". Rfam says of the family: Transfer RNA (tRNA) molecules are approximately 80 nucleotides in length. Their secondary structure includes four short double-helical elements and three loops (D, anti-codon, and T loops). Lineage: Bacteria; Bacillati; Bacillota. The record is from RNAcentral.
GGAGGGGUGGCCGAGCCUGGUCCAAGGCAGGGGCUUGCUAAGCCUCGGUCGCUCCAAAAAGCGGCCCGUGGGUUCGAAUCCCACCCCCUCCGCCA